This is a long non-coding RNA of Phacochoerus africanus (Common warthog), 648 nucleotides long. RefSeq lists it as uncharacterized. The transcript has 3 exons. The record is from RefSeq and is a predicted model, not a curated record. NCBI's taxonomy places the organism in Eukaryota, Metazoa, Chordata, Mammalia, Artiodactyla, Suidae.
GCUUUGCUCUCCCUGCUCCCCAUUUUCUGCAGUCUCGGCAGGUGGAUUGGGCGGUGACCUAGCCAGGGGGCCAUAUACUUGAGCACUUACUUUGGGGCAAACAUCCAUGUCCAGGUUUCAUGGAAGGUGGAUAACAGAGCAGCCAUAGCUGGAGAAGAUCUUGCGGCCGGUCACUUACCUGCUCCCACACAAGGGUCUGUGCUAUUCUCCUAGGAAGCCUGCUGGACCAUUAGAGGUUCUAGCUGAGAACUAAGGAACCUAGAAGAGAGAGGAGGAAAUGAGACCAGAAUCUGGAGAAGCUGUUUCCGGGUAUAGUGAAAUCUCCAGGCUGUCCAGAGUGUGAGGUGCUGCCUGAAGGGACCUGUCACACCCCCGGGGUAGAAGGUCCAAGCUCCUGUCCCUCAAGUUAGGAGACAACUCUGAAAGGCCAUCCUGUCUCUAUCGAUGGCUUUUGCAAAUGCAGUGCAUAAAAAUUUACCUCUGCUCAGUGCUGCUCCUGCUCAUCCCUCCUUCAGAGGAUGCUCUGAUCACAAGCCCGGAACAUGGGUCUCUUGCUUGGAGUCCGUUGCCACCAGAGGUGUGUGAGCCAUCCUGGCGAGAGGGUGGGCAGACGGAUGCUGAGCGCACCCACCAUGUCCAUUCUGCGGC